This 492-nucleotide ribosomal RNA is filed under the name uncultured bacterium. RNAcentral describes it as "partial 16S ribosomal RNA". It matches the Rfam family "Bacterial small subunit ribosomal RNA", at positions 30 to 507 of the family's 1533-position model. The record is from RNAcentral.
AUUGAACGCUGGCGGCAUGCCUUACACAUGCAAGUCGAACGGCAGCACGGUUGCUUGCUGCUGUUGGCGAGUGGCGAACGGGUGCGUAAUACAUCUGCACCUGUCCUGUCUUUUUCGUUAGCCCGGCCAAAGCCGGAUUUAUACCACUUCCGCACUACGCAUGCAAGCGGGGGCCCUUCAUCUUCCGCCCUUUCGCGUUUGCCUGUGCCGAUGUCGGAUUAGCUAGUUGGCGGGGUAAAGGCCUACCAAGGCGACGAUCAGUAGCUGGUCUGAGAGGACGAUCAGCCACACUGGGACUGAGACACGGCCCAGACUCCUACGGGAGGCAGCAGUGGGGAAUUUUGGACAAUGGGCGAAAGCCUGAUCCAGCAAUGCCGCGUGUGUGAAGAAGGCCUUCGGGUUGUAAAGCACUUUUGUCCGGAAAGAAAAGCUGGGCCCUAAUACGGUCGGGGGAUGACGGUACCGGAAGAAUAAGCACCGGCUAACUACGUG